AGCUUAUCAAGAAAGGUGGAGGGACUGGCCCAGUGAAACCUUGGCAACCGGAACGUUAGUUUAUCGGUGCCAAUUCCAGCAGGUGUUAUCCUGAAAGAUAAGAA
Molecule: non-coding RNA, 104 nt
Filed under: Clostridium sp.
Lineage: Bacteria; Bacillati; Bacillota; Clostridia; Eubacteriales; Clostridiaceae
Also listed under: 1 other name
Description: SAM-I sequence
Rfam family: SAM riboswitch aptamer (S box leader)
About the family: The SAM riboswitch is found upstream of a number of genes which code for proteins involved in methionine or cysteine biosynthesis in Gram-positive bacteria. The SAM riboswitch acts at the level of transcription termination control. The predicted structure consists of a complex stem-loop region followed by a single stem loop terminator region.
Source: RNAcentral